AGAGUUUGAUCCUGGCUCAGAACGAACGCUGGCGGCAGGCCUAACACAUGCAAGUCGAGCGCGCCCUUCGGGGUGAGCGGCGGACGGGUUAGUAACGCGUGGGAACGUGCCCAGAUCUAAGGAAUAGCCACUGGAAACGGUGAGUAAUACCUUAUACGCCCUUCGGGGGAAAGAUUUAUCGGAUUUGGAUCGGCCCGCGUUAGAUUAGGUAGUUGGUGGGGUAAUGGCCUACCAAGCCUACGAUCUAUAGCUGGUUUUAGAGGAUGAUCAGCAACACUGGGACUGAGACACGGCCCAGACUCCUACGGGAGGCAGCAGUGGGGAAUCUUGGACAAUGGGGGCAACCCUGAUCUAGCCAUGCCGCGUGAGUGAUGAAGGCCUUAGGGUCGUAAAGCUCUUUCGCCUGUGAUGAUAAUGACAGUAGCAGGUAAAGAAACCCCGGCUAACUCCGUGCCAGCAGCCGCGGUAAUACGGAGGGGGUUAGCGUUGUUCGGAAUUACUGGGCGUAAAGCGCGCGUAGGCGGAUUAGAAAGUUGGGGGUGAAAUCCCGGGGCUCAACCCCGGAACUGCCUCCAAAACUGCUAGUCUAGAGUUCGAGAGAGGUGAGUGGAAUUCCGAGUGUAGAGGUGAAAUUCGUAGAUAUUCGGAGGAACACCAGUGGCGAAGGCGGCUCACUGGCUCGAUACUGACGCUGAGGUGCGAAAGUGUGGGGAGCAAACAGGAUUAGAUACCCUGGUAGUCCACACCGUAAACGAUGAAUGCCAGUCGUCGGGUAGUAUACUAUUCGGUGACACACCUAACGGAUUAAGCAUUCCGCCUGGGGAGUACGGUCGCAAGAUUAAAACUCAAAGGAAUUGACGG
RNAcentral lists this ribosomal RNA (861 nucleotides) under uncultured marine bacterium. RNAcentral's name for it is "bacterial SSU rRNA". It matches the Rfam family "Bacterial small subunit ribosomal RNA", at positions 8 to 916 of the family's 1533-position model. The record is from RNAcentral.